This 261-nucleotide ribosomal RNA is filed under the name uncultured archaeon. Its description in RNAcentral is "partial 16S ribosomal RNA". It matches the Rfam family "Archaeal small subunit ribosomal RNA", at positions 748 to 1009 of the family's 1478-position model. The record is from RNAcentral.
CAGCCCUAAACGAUGCGCGUUAGGUGUAUCGGUGACCACGAGUCACCGAGGUGCCGAAGGGAAACCGUGAAACGUGCCGCCUGGGAAGUACGGUCGCAAGGCUGAAACUUAAAGGAAUUGGCGGGGGAGCACCACAACGGGUGGAGCUUGCGGUUUAAUUGGAUUCAACGCCGGAAAUCUUACCGGGACCGACAGCAACAUGAAGGCCAAGCUGAAGACUUUGCCGGAUUAGCUGAGAGGAGGUGCAUGGCGUAGACGUCU